GCCUGGGUAGCUCAAUCGGUAGAGCGUGUGACUCUUACAUUCUAUCUUAGGAUAUGAGAUCAUCUCAAGGUCGCGGGUUCGAGCCCCGCCUCGGGCU
Molecule: transfer RNA, 97 nt
Filed under: Pseudogymnoascus sp. VKM F-4281 (FW-2241)
Lineage: Eukaryota; Fungi; Ascomycota; Leotiomycetes; Thelebolales; Thelebolaceae
Rfam family: tRNA
About the family: Transfer RNA (tRNA) molecules are approximately 80 nucleotides in length. Their secondary structure includes four short double-helical elements and three loops (D, anti-codon, and T loops).
Source: Rfam by way of RNAcentral